RNAcentral lists this ribosomal RNA (432 nucleotides) under uncultured bacterium. RNAcentral's name for it is "partial 16S ribosomal RNA". It matches the Rfam family "Bacterial small subunit ribosomal RNA", at positions 29 to 506 of the family's 1533-position model. The record is from RNAcentral.
AACGAACGCUGGCGGCAUGCCUAACACAUGCAAGUCGAACGAGACCUUCGGGUCUAGUGGCGCACGGGUGCGUAACGCGUGGGAAUCUGCCCUUGGGUUCGGAAUAACAGUGAGAAAUUACUGCUAAUACCGGAUGAUGUCUUCGGACCAAAGAUUUAUCGCCCAGGGAUGAGCCCGCGUAGGAUUAGCUAGUUGGUGGGGUAAUGGCCUACCAAGGCGACGAUCCUUAGCUGGUCUGAGAGGAUGAUCAGCCACACUGGGACUGAGACACGGCCCAGACUCCUACGGGAGGCAGCAGUGGGGAAUAUGGGACAAUGGGCGCAAGCCUGAUCCAGCAAUGCCGCGUGAGUGAUGAAGGCCUUAGGGUUGUAAAGCUCUUUUACCCGGGAUGAUAAUGACAGUACCGGGAGAAUAAGCUCCGGCUAACUCCGU